This 2019-nucleotide small RNA is filed under the name Pongo abelii (Sumatran orangutan). RNAcentral's name for it is "retained intron". The record is from RNAcentral. Lineage: Eukaryota; Metazoa; Chordata; Mammalia; Primates; Hominidae.
UUGAUCCCCACAAUCACACUUUAGAGUAGGCGUGAUCAUCCCAUUUAACAGAGGAUGACUCUGAAGUUAUCCAGGAAACUGAUUGGACCUCAGAGCCCCUGGUCUCAGCCCAGUCAAAGUGGGUGCCUCCAGUUCCUCAAGCCAGAAACUUCCUCGAAUUUUUCCUUUUCCCCACCUCUUGUUUAUUCCAUCAGCAAACCCCAAAAUAUCUCCCUGUCCCCUCUGUCUCCAUCUCCACCACGCCAUCAUAGUCCAGGUAACCAUGUGCCACCCAGACCCCGCAACAGCCUCUGUGCUGUGCUCCCUGCGCCUCCCACCUCCCACCCACUCCAGCUGCUUCUCGUGGCAGCCAGAGCUGAAACCUCCAACUCUCCCAUGUAGCCAGCCUUGAGAACGCAGUGCGAUGGCAGCUGUAGAACAGAAGGAACCCCCUCUGCAGAGGGGCGGGGGAGCACAAGUGGAAAUGAUGCCCUUUGCCAGAGAGUACUGCAUGGCUUCCAGAGGAGGAAGCUGGAUCUUGGAGGAUGAGUGGCAGGGAAGCCAGGGAAGGGUGGUUCUGACAGAAGGACCUGCAUGGAUGCCUGUGUGCAGAGGCCCACAGGUGUGACUGGCUUAUUUGGAAGAAAACCAAGCUGCAGAGGGAGAAAGGCUGGAGAAGCAGGUUGCAGCCUCGGAUUGAACAAAUGGCCUUUGAAUGUGAAACCAAGGGUGUGGUCUUCCUCUCUCUUUACUUGCCUGUGGGGUCACAGACGUGGUCUCACACUCUUUCUUCCUCCUGUCCUCUAUGUGACCCCGAAGUCAUUGAGAAGUUUGAUUAUGUGUUUGCCGAGAACGGGACGGUGCAGUAUAAGCAUGGACGACUGCUCUCCAAGCAGACCAUCCAGAACCACCUGGGGGAGGAGCUGCUGCAGGACUUGAUCAACUUCUGCCUCAGCUACAUGGCCCUGCUCAGGCUGCCCAAGAAGCGGUGAGGUCCCACCAGCCUGGUCUCCAGAACCUGGGGCCUGAGGGAGGAGAAGUGUGGGUCCCUCAGAGGGAGCCUGGAGAUACUUGGGCCCCUGAUUUUUUGCGGGGAGUGUGGAUUCUUGUCCCCUUUGAAGUCCUAGGACGCUGGGGUCCCAGGUGGGGCUAGAUUUGAAUUCAGGGCUGUUCUGGUUCUCUCUGGCUCCCCGCCCUCCCUCACCACCAGUGGAACCUUCAUCGAGUUCCGGAAUGGCAUGCUGAACAUCUCGCCCAUUGGCCGGAGCUGCACCCUGGAGGAGAGGAUCGAGUUCUCCGAACUGGACAAGAAAGAGAAGAUCCGGGAGAAGUUCGUGGAAGCCCUGAAAACAGAGUUUGCUGGCAAAGGGCUGAGGUUCUCUCGAGGAGGCAUGAUCAGCUUUGAUGUCUUCCCCGAGGGCUGGGACAAGCGCUACUGCCUGGAUAGCCUGGACCAGGACAGCUUCGACACCAUCCACUUCUUUGGGAACGAGACCAGCCCUGGUGGGAACGACUUUGAGAUCUUUGCCGACCCCCGGACUGUUGGCCACAGCGUGGUGUCUCCUCAGGACACAGUGCAGCGAUGCCGGGAGAUUUUCUUCCCAGAGACAGCCCAUGAGGCGUGACCGGGGCCCACAUCUGUGUGUUGUGACUUCUGAAGAGUUUGGCCUAGGCCUAAAGAGAGGUCCUGGUGUUGGAUAGAUGCCAGGGCCCCUCCUCUGGCCCAGGAUGCCUGCUGCAAGCCCACCCAGAUGGGGCCAGAGUCUGUGUGGACAACCGUCCCCAGCCAGUCAGCUCCUAGUGGCACUGGCUUCGUCCUUCCAGGGCCCAGAGUGUUCCCCGUGCUCCACCUGGUGGCCCAGGCCACAGCUGCUGCUUGUAUUUCGGUACAGAACAGGUUUCUUUCUGCGCCAGGAGGAGGCGUGCGCAAGUGUCGGUAGGAGAUCUAGCCUGCCCUGCCUGCCUACCCUGGGCAAUGAGGUACGGUGGGGAAGGUGCCUAUUUUAGAGAACUUUGUCACAGUAUUAAAGUUCCCAGAAC